UACGGGGGGAGCAAGCGUUGUUCGGAUUUACUGGGCGUAAAGGGCGCGUAGGCGGCGCCGCAAGUCGACUGUGAAAUCUCCGGGCUUAACCCGGAAAGGUCAGCCGAUACUGCGGGGCUAGAGUGCAGAAGGGGCAACUGGAAUUCUCGGUGUAGCGGUGAAAUGCGCAGAUAUCAGGAGGAACACCAAUAGCGAAGGCAGCUCGCUGGGACGGUACUGACGCUGAGGCGCGAAAGCGUGGGGAGCGAACAGG
This 253-nucleotide ribosomal RNA is filed under the name uncultured bacterium. RNAcentral describes it as "partial 16S ribosomal RNA". It matches the Rfam family "Bacterial small subunit ribosomal RNA", at positions 524 to 776 of the family's 1533-position model. The record is from RNAcentral.